This 476-nucleotide long non-coding RNA is filed under the name Elaeis guineensis (African oil palm). RNAcentral's name for it is "long non-coding RNA (EGUI_LNC000480)". Lineage: Eukaryota; Viridiplantae; Streptophyta; Magnoliopsida; Arecales; Arecaceae. The record is from RNAcentral.
GGGUCCCUCUUUUGGCUUCUUUUAUAGAUGGAGAUCGGAGGUUUUUAUCUCCUAUUAAAUAUCUUCACGAGUCAUGCUUGACAAUGUCACUUCAUGGCAUGUGGGGGGCCCCACCUACUGUCGGCACGGGCUGACAAACAGGAGCUGAGAGUGUGGAAGGGGCUUAAUUUACUCAUGGUUACACUCAUUUAUUAAUGGAGUAAUGUGAUGGGGCCAUAAAGAGGCUUCUAGAGGGUCAAUGGCCAAAGUUGGGAGUGGGGGCCGAUACUAGGGUUGGAGGUCGAGGUGGGAUCGGAUGCAUGCGAAGAGUGCGAGCAUCCACAGGCCGAAGCAGGAUGCAUGGGUGCAUCCUCCUUUCUCUUCUUCUUCUGCCACCUUUUCUCCUUUUGUCCUUUCCUUUUCCUUUUUGUCUUGUUCUGAUGUUGAUGGGAGGAUGGGAUGAAAAAUGGGAGGGGGCAAUUAAAGCCUCGUGAGGU